AUGGAGAUGACUUCGAGGGUGGUGGUGCAACUGGUGCAUGGAGUCGUGGUGGUCUUGAAGGAUGCACUCCAGCUGCAAGGUGCUCGAGGGCUCGACCUUGAACGGCCAACGAGCGGAGACACGCCCUUGCACCAGGUGCCGGAGCUGCCGCUUAACAUCUGCAUGGUAUCCGAGAUGUUCCUGCAGAUCCUUGCCACGGGGCUCGGCGCCCUCGCCUUAGUCUGGGCGACCGUCGUCCUGCUCGGCGGUUUCUCCACUUCUCUACAGACGGCUGAUUUCUGGGUCAUCACUGCUAUCGUCUUCAUCCAAACAGCCAGGGUCGUGGGCAUAAAUGUAAGCCCCGAGGCAGAAUUUUUCAACCAAGUUCCACCAGCAUUCCUUGAAUUGGGCGCCGAGCACUACACGAAAUGGGGGCGAGGAAGGCCGCUGACUGGCCGAGCAACUGGCUCUAAAUUCGUUUACUAUCUCAUGCUGGGACUUGGAAGUGCAAGGGAUUUCAUAUACUUUACGGCCUUCUUAGCAAUAUUGGUCCUUGCAGUUCCAAUGAUCGCAGGGUUAGGCUGCAUAUCACUUUCCAUCUAUCGUCUCCUUGCCAUCCUGUCGAGACACCAUGACAAUUCCAAUGUGUUUCGUGCACUCAUCUUGUUCUAUGCUCUCGUGCUUCUCCAAGGUGGAUUGUUCAUCUUGUGGUUGUUUCUGAGGUUGUAUCGUUCUGAUCUCGCAAACCACGUGAGCUUCAAGUAUGGACUUGAGGACAAGAGAGAAUUGAUUGACAAAUAUAUGGACAAAACCUUGGGCACGGCCAUAAAAAAUGGGGUGGCAGGUACCAUCAACAGGAACCUGGCUUCCUUCGCAGCAGAAAUGAUGAAAUCUGAGUACAGUCAGGACCGCAUUGAUGCAGUUUUGGUGAUGCAUAGAUUGACAUCCCAAGAGGACCAUAGAACAAGAACACUAUCCCAGAUACAAUCAUCACCGCUCUGUGUCUCCAGGCUGCUUGACAUGGUUACCUCAAAGAGCCGCACUGAUCAGAGGACAAAAAUAUGCAUCGCACAAAUUGUGGCACAUCUUGCUAGCAACUUGCGCCUGGCUGACAUAUCAGGAGCAACAGAGUCCAUUUCUUCCAUGAUUGAUCCCUACUUUACGAAAAUAUCAACACCGGCUACCAAUGUCAACAUUGACCAUCAGACAGCUAUUGACAUCACAAUUGACCAGCAGGGGGCUAUUCAGUCAGCCAGCGCUGCCAAUGGAGGAGAAAGCAAUGGAUCUUGUAUUUUUGUUAAGCAAUUAAUGGAAAGGGUAGCUCGGCAGAGAGCAGAAAUCAUCAGAAAUAGACAGCAAAGAACUCUUCGAUCCUCCAGGACUACCAGUGGAGCUGAAAGCAAACCUCUAAUUAUCCAUGGCCUGUUGAUUCUUGCCAAGCUUGCAGUUAACCCGGACAACUGCAAACACAUAUAUGAUUACAAGGGUCUCUUCUCCAAGAUCAUAUCCCCAGUCAAAAAUAAAGUGUAUGAGAUCCUCAGAGAUGAUGGUAUCACCAUGGAAAUAACUGAGAAGGCACUGGAAGUGGUGAGCAUGCUUGUCAGUGGCACAGAUGAAACCAAUGAAAAGAUACGCCGAGAUAUUUGUAGCAACGGGAUAGUAGCGCACGAUAUUUGCUCAAUCUUGGAACAGGACCACAUGUACGACAAGCUAAAGGUUCCAGCAACAAAGAUCCUUACGGAGCUAUCUUUGGAUACGUCCACUCAAGCUACCCUUGGACUUGAUGGCGUAGCUGAAUUCAUUAACGACUUGAUGGACAUCUUCUUUGAUGCUGCUAAUGAGAGUGAAGAACUCAAGAAGACAGCAGGGGAAGCAUUGGCAGUACUGGCAAUGGACAAUGCCAAUUGUAUAACGAUCAUGAAUUUCAGCACAGAGACAAAUACUUCAGUUCAGCUGCUCACAGAUAUGAUUAAUGCAGUAAACCCCAGAUUAUAUCAAACUCCCAUAGCACAACUGCUGAUGCAACUUUGUGCAAAUUCUAAUCCUGCAGAAAGGGAGGAGUAUCUCGCAUCAGUCAAAACAAAUCUACAUGAGGUGCUCAAAGUUAUAUGCAAUGUUGAACAAGCAGAAAAUACAAAUCAGGUGGGUUCUCCACAGCACAACUUAGGCCAGCAACAAGCAGCAAACACAAAUCAGGCGGGUUCUCCCCAGCAUAACCCGGUCCUGCAACAAGCAGCAAACACAAAUCAGGCAGGUUCCCCACAGCAUAACUCAGGCCAGCAACAAGCAGCAAACACAAAUCAGGCGGGUUCUCCCCAGCAUAACCCGGGCCAGCAACAAGCAGCAAACACAAAUCAGGUGGGUUCUCCACAGCACAACCUUGGGCAGCAACAAGCAGCAAAUGCAAAUCAGACAGGUUCUCCACAGGACAACCGGGGCCGGCCCCCAUUUUCUCGGGCAUUUUAUCGCUUGAACAGUUUUCUCGGGGCUCACCACUCUCACGCUGCUAACCGAAACAAUCCCAAUGACAAUUUGCCGGCUGUUACUCAGCUUGUAGGUGCUAGAAGAAAAUCCCUGGCAGCCUUCUUAGGCCUUACAUUGGAGAUAUGUGACAAACUGGAGAUAAGUCCAGAUGAUUUUGAUGAUGCACUUGCGCUCAUUCCUCUUUCCAUGGAUGACUUUGUGGAUAAACUGAAUCAUAUAAUAGAACAGUGCAAGGGCCACUCUGUUGAUAGCUUGGAAGGGAAGGGUCCCUCAAUUGAGUAUCUGAUAAUAAUCAAGACAGUGACAAAGUUAUGUACAUGGAUGAUGCAAAGCAAGCCAGACUGCAUUACAGUAUUCCAGAACAAGAACACUAGCUCAAAACUGCAAGGUGCCUUGGAGGAUAUGAGAGACCUGGAACUAGGUAUGCUCCUUACCGGCAGUGCAGGGGACAUGGCUAAUUACCAACCCCUUUCAAACAUCAUGGGUGUUGCACGGCAGAUGAUGGAUGCUAAUGUGCAAGUUUAA
This 2988-nucleotide ribosomal RNA is filed under the name Triticum aestivum (bread wheat). RNAcentral describes it as "partial small subunit ribosomal RNA". Lineage: Eukaryota; Viridiplantae; Streptophyta; Magnoliopsida; Poales; Poaceae. The record is from RNAcentral.